Acanthosepion pharaonis is the source of this 115-nucleotide non-coding RNA. NCBI's taxonomy places the organism in Eukaryota, Metazoa, Mollusca, Cephalopoda, Sepiida, Sepiidae. The record is from the annotation of a GenBank genome assembly.
UUACGGUCAUAUCAUGUUGAAACGCCGAUCAGCGUACGAUCGCCAAAGUUAAGCAACGUCAAGCUUGGUCAGUACCUAGAUGGGUGUUCGCUUGGGAAUACCAGGUGCUGUAAGC